GGUUCUGUGGCUCAACUAGUAGACCGUCUGACUCCAGAUAGGAAGGUUACGUGUUCGAGUCACGUCGGGGUCA
Dryococelus australis is the source of this 73-nucleotide non-coding RNA. The record is from the annotation of a GenBank genome assembly. NCBI's taxonomy places the organism in Eukaryota, Metazoa, Arthropoda, Insecta, Phasmatodea, Phasmatidae.